GAUGAACGCUAGCGGGAGGCUUAACACAUGCAAGUCGAGGGGUAAAUGGCAGCAAUGCUAUGAGACCGGCGAACGGGUGCGUAACGCGUGGAUAAUCUACCUGACAUUUUGGGAUAACAUUUCGAAAGGGGUGCUAAUACCGGAUAAGACCACGAGGCCUUAGGGCCAUGGGGUAAAAGGUGGGGACCUUCGGGCCUGCCGAUGUCAGAUGAGUCCGCGUACCAUUAGCUAGUUGGUGGGGUAAAGGCCUACCAAGGCGACGAUGGUUAGCUGGUCUGAGAGGAUGAUCAGCCACACUGGAACUGAGACACGGUCCAGACUCCUACGGGAGGCAGCAGUGGGGAACUUUGCGCAAUGGGGGAAACCCUGACGCAGCAACGCCGCGUGAGUGAUGAAGGCCUUCGGGUCGUAAGCUCUGUCAGAGGG
This 426-nucleotide ribosomal RNA is filed under the name uncultured bacterium. Its description in RNAcentral is "bacterial SSU rRNA". It matches the Rfam family "Bacterial small subunit ribosomal RNA", at positions 28 to 443 of the family's 1533-position model. The record is from RNAcentral.